AGGAUGAGGCCUUCGGGUUGUAAACUUCUUUUGCCGAGGAAGAGAAUGGACGGUACUCGGCGAAUAAGUCACGGCUAACUACGUGCCAGCAGCCGCGGUAAUACGUAGGUGGCAAGCGUUGUCCGGAAUUAUUGGGCGUAAAGGGUCCGUAGGCGGCUUGGUAAGUUUCCUGUGAAAACUCCGGGCUCAACCCGGAGAGGUCGGGGAAUACUGCUGAGCUUGAGAAUGGCAGAGGUGAACGGAAUUCCCGGUGGAGCGGUGAAAUGCAUAGAUAUCGGGAGGAACACCAGUGGCGAAGGCGGUUCACUGGGCCAUUUCUGACGCUGAGGGACGAAAGCGUGGGGAGCAAAUCGGAUUAGAUACCCGAGUAGUCCACGCCCUAAACGAUGGAUGCUAGAUCUUUGGGGAGUUACACCCCUGGGGGUCAAAGCUAACGCAUUAAGCAUCCCGCCUGGGGACUACGGCCGCAAGGCUAAAACUCAAAGGAAUUGACGGGGGCCCGCACAAGCAGCGGAGCGUGUGGUUUAAUUCGAUGCAAAGCGAAAAACCUUACCCAGGCUUGACAUGUAGGUGGUACCGAACCGAAAGGGGACGGACCCUCCGGGGAGCCUACACAGGUGCUGCAUGGUUGUCGUCAGCUCGUGCCGUGAGGUCUUGGAUUAAGUUCCGCAACGAGCGCAACCCCCACCUUUAGUUGCUUUCUCUAAAGGGACUGCCCGUAAAACGGAGGAAGGAGGGGACGACGUCAAAUCAUCAUGGCUCUUACGUCUGGGGCCACUCACACGCUACAAUGGCCAACACAAACGGCCGCGAAACCGCGAGGUGGAGCUAAUCCGACCAAAGUUGGUCCAAGUGGGGAUUGCAGGCUGAAACCCGCCUGCAUGAACGCGGA
This 892-nucleotide ribosomal RNA is filed under the name uncultured bacterium. Its description in RNAcentral is "bacterial SSU rRNA". It matches the Rfam family "Bacterial small subunit ribosomal RNA", at positions 405 to 1330 of the family's 1533-position model. The record is from RNAcentral.